UGGGGAAUAUUGCACAAUGGGCGAAAGCCUGAUGCAGCGACGCCGCGUGAGGGAUGACGGCCUUCGGGUUGUAAACCUCUUUCAUCAGGGACGAAGCGCAAGUGACGGUACCUGCAGAAGAAGCACCGGCUAACUACGUGCCAGCAGCCGCGGUAAUACGUAGGGUGCAAGCGUUGUCCGGAAUUACUGGGCGUAAAGAGUUCGUAGGCGGUUUGUCGCGUCGUUUGUGAAAACCAGCAGCUCAACUGCUGGCUUGCAGACGAUACGGGCAGACUUGAGUACUGCAGGGGAGACUGGAAUGCCUGGUGUAGCGGUGAAAUGCGAAGAUAUCAGGAGGAACACCGGUGGCGAGGGCGGGUCUCUGGGCAGUAACUGACGCUGAGGAACGAAAGCGUGGGUAGCGAACAGG
This 409-nucleotide ribosomal RNA is filed under the name Acidobacteriota bacterium. RNAcentral's name for it is "Acidobacteria bacterium partial 16S ribosomal RNA". It matches the Rfam family "Bacterial small subunit ribosomal RNA", at positions 355 to 776 of the family's 1533-position model. The record is from RNAcentral. Lineage: Bacteria; Pseudomonadati; Acidobacteriota.